GACGAACGCUGGCGGCGUGCUUAACACAUGCAAGUCGAACGGAAAGGCCAUGCUCUUGUGGGGUGCUCGAGUGGCGAACGGGUGAGUAACACGUGAGUAACCUGUCCUUGACUUUGGGAUAACUUCAGGAAACUGGGGCGAAUACCGGAUAGGAGCUCCUGCUGCAUGGUGGGGGAUGGAAAGUUUCGGCGGUUGUGGAUGGACUCGCGGCUUAUCAGCUUGGUGGUGGGGUAGUGGACUACCAAGGCUUUGACGGGUAGCCGCCAUGCGAGCGUGACCAGCCUCCUGACUACUGAGAUACGCCCCAGUCUCCUACAGGACGCAACAGUCGGGAAUAUGCCGAAACGAGCCCAAGUCUGUUGCAGCAACGCCGCGUUCGGCAUGACCUCUUUUUAGUUGUAAACAGCUUUCGCCUGUGACAAAGCGUUAGUGACGGUAAUUAAUCAAGAAGCACCGGCUAACUACGUG
Molecule: ribosomal RNA, 468 nt
Filed under: uncultured bacterium
Lineage: Bacteria
Description: partial 16S ribosomal RNA
Rfam family: Bacterial small subunit ribosomal RNA
Source: RNAcentral